This 249-nucleotide ribosomal RNA is filed under the name uncultured bacterium. Its description in RNAcentral is "partial 16S ribosomal RNA". It matches the Rfam family "Bacterial small subunit ribosomal RNA", at positions 524 to 771 of the family's 1533-position model. The record is from RNAcentral.
UACGUAGGGUGCAAGCGUUGUCCGGAAUUAUUGGGCGUAAAGAGCUCGUAGGCGGUCUGUCGCGUCGGCUGUGAAAACUCGGGGCUCAACUCCGAGCUUGCAGUCGAUACGGGCAGGCUAGAGUUCGGCAGGGGAGACUGGAAUUCCUGGUGUAGCGGUGAAAAUGCGCAGAUAUCAGGAGGAACACCGGUGGCGAAGGCGGGUCUCUGGGCCGAUACUGACGCUGAGGAGCGAAAGCGUGGGGAGCAA